RNAcentral lists this ribosomal RNA (188 nucleotides) under uncultured Clostridium sp. RNAcentral's name for it is "partial 16S ribosomal RNA". It matches the Rfam family "Bacterial small subunit ribosomal RNA", at positions 326 to 535 of the family's 1533-position model. The record is from RNAcentral. Lineage: Bacteria; Bacillati; Bacillota; Clostridia; Eubacteriales; Clostridiaceae.
ACUGGGGGGGCCUACGGGAGGCAGCAGUGGGGAAUAUUGGGCAAUGGGGGAAACUCUGAUGCAGCAACGCCGCGUGAGUGAUGAAGGUCUUCGGAUCGUAAAGCUCUGUCUUCAGGGACGAUAAUGACGGUACCUGAGGAGGAUGCCAUGGCUAACUACGUGCCAGCAGCCGCGGUAAUCUUUAUGCC